This 827-nucleotide ribosomal RNA is filed under the name uncultured bacterium. RNAcentral's name for it is "bacterial SSU rRNA". It matches the Rfam family "Bacterial small subunit ribosomal RNA", at positions 8 to 845 of the family's 1533-position model. The record is from RNAcentral.
AGAGUUUGAUCAUGGCUCAGAGUGAACGCUGGCGGCGUGCUUAACACAUGCAAGUCGAACGAGAACGGAUUAUAGCUUGCUAUAAUUGUCAGCUAAGUGGCGCACGGGUGAGUAAUAUAUAGAUAACCUGCCCUCAAGAAAGGAAUAACAGUUGGAAACGACUGCUAAUGCCCUAUAUGCCUUUAAUACAUAAGUAUGCAAGGGAAACGCUUUAGUGCUUGAGGAUGGGUCUGUAUGGUAUCAGCUUGUUGGUGAGGUAAUGGCUCACCAAGGCUAUGACGCCUAACUGGUUUGAGAGGAUGAUCAGUCACACUGGAACUGAGACACGGUCCAGACUCCUACGGGAGGCAGCAGUGGGGAAUAUUGCACAAUGGACGAAAGUCUGAUGCAGCAACGCCGCGUGGAGGAUGACACAUUUCGGUGCGUAAACUCCUUUUAUAUAGGAAGAUAAUGACGGUACUAUAUGAAUAAGCACCGGCUAACUCCGUGCCAGCAGCCGCGGUAAUACGGAGGGUGCAAGCGUUACUCGGAAUCACUGGGCGUAAAGAGCGUGUAGGCGGGUAUAUAAGUCAGAAGUGAAAUCCAAUAGCUUAACUAUUGAACUGCUUUUGAAACUGUAUACCUAGAAUGUGGGAGAGGUAGAUGGAAUUUCUGGUGUAGGGGUAAAAUCCGUAGAGAUCAGAAGGAAUACCGAUUGCGAAGGCGAUCUACUGGAACAUUAUUGACGCUGAGACGCGAAAGCGUGGGGAGCAAACAGGAUUAGAUACCCUGGUAGUCCACGCCCUAAACGAUGCACACUAGUUGUUGUGAGGCUCGACCUUGCAGUA